CACGAAGCGAUCAAUUAUAAUUAAAUUAACUCAUCAGGUGAGACAGAAGUUGAAUUUCGUGUUUGAAAUCAGAUAGGACAAUCUCCUAUCAUUUAUGAAGAAACCAGGGUUAUUUUGAAAAUAUAUCACUCAGAAAAACAACAGGCCUACAAUUCUGGCCAGUUAUCAAUGGAUUAGAGAAAUGAGCUU
Amphibalanus amphitrite is the source of this 189-nucleotide long non-coding RNA. RefSeq lists it as uncharacterized. The record is from RefSeq and is a predicted model, not a curated record. Lineage: Eukaryota; Metazoa; Arthropoda; Thecostraca; Balanomorpha; Balanidae. The transcript has 3 exons.